GAUGAACGCUGGCGGCGUGCCUAAUACAUGCAAGUCGAGCGAACAGAUGAGGAGCUUGCUCCUCUGACGUUAGCGGCGGACGGGUGAGUAACACGUGGAUAACCUACCUAUAAGACUGGGAUAACUUCGGGAAACCGGAGCUAAUACCGGAUAAUAUAUUGAACCGCAUGGUUCAAUAGUGAAAGACGGUUUUGCUGUCACUUAUAGAUGGAUCCGCGCCGCAUUAGCUAGUUGGUAAGGUAACGGCUUACCAAGGCAACGAUGCGUAGCCGACCUGAGAGGGUGAUCGGCCACACUGGAACUGAGACACGGUCCAGACUCCUACGGGAGGCAGCAGUAGGGAAUCUUCCGCAAUGGGCGAAAGCCUGACGGAGCAACGCCGCGUGAGUGAUGAAGGUCUUCGGAUCGUAAAACUCUGUUAUUAGGGAAGAACAAAUGUGUAAGUAACUAUGCACGUCUUGACGGUACCUAAUCAGAAAGCCACGGCUAACUACUUG
Molecule: ribosomal RNA, 497 nt
Filed under: uncultured bacterium
Lineage: Bacteria
Description: partial 16S ribosomal RNA
Rfam family: Bacterial small subunit ribosomal RNA
Source: RNAcentral